RNAcentral lists this ribosomal RNA (305 nucleotides) under uncultured bacterium. RNAcentral's name for it is "bacterial SSU rRNA". It matches the Rfam family "Bacterial small subunit ribosomal RNA", at positions 335 to 658 of the family's 1533-position model. The record is from RNAcentral.
GCCCUACGGGGCGCAGCAGUGGGGAAUAUUGCACAAUGGGGGAAACCCUGAUGCAGCGACGCCGCGUGAAGGAAGAAGUAUUUCGGUAUGUAAACUUCUAUCAGCAGGGAAGAAAAUGACGGUACCUGACUAAGAAGCCCCGGCUAACUACGUGCCAGCAGCCGCGGUAAUACGUAGGGGGCAAGCGUUAUCCGGAUUUACUGGGUGUAAAGGGAGCGUAGGCGGCGAUGCAAGUCUGGAGUGAAAGGCAUGGGCUCAACCUGUGGACUGCUUUGGAAACUGUGCGGCUUGAGUGUCGGAGAGGC